CCGAGGCCCGGCCCCGCGGCGCUCCCCUCCCUUGCCAGCUCCCCCCCGCCCCCGGCCCUGCCCCCAGCCCGGGAGCCGCCGCUUCCCCGGCGGGCGGGCGAGGGAAGGGGGACCGCCCGGCGCUCCGGUGCCGCGUAGCGGGAUGCGGGGAUUUAGGUAUUCGUGUCCACCUCAGAGCCUGCUCCCUCUGAAGUCUCCUGUGUUCCUCUAACAACCCUAGAAAUUCUUCAGCCCGGAGGCUGUGUACUCAACAGGCAGACGGCUCAGUCUGUGUAUGUUGUCUGAGUGUCUGGAAUCUACACCUGGUACCUCUCCACUGGCACCCACAAUUUAAGAAAGUGAAUAGAAGCUUUCAAGGAGGAACAUGGCACACCAGGAUCAGGAGCUACUGUAGACAUUUCCAUCUAUUUUGGGGUUCUGUUUGAUAUGAGAAACUGUGAUUGCUCAGGUCAACAUACUUUUUUCCCCCUCAUUUUUGAACUGGCUCUCUUUGCAGAACAACGUUUGUUUCUUUCCCUUUUUGAUUUUUUACCCACUCAUGUGUGUUAGGAUCUACAUACAUGAAUAUUUGAGGUUUAAACUUCUGUUUGCAAGCAUGGUAGAACCAUUUAAUGCUGUGUGUGUGUUUGCAUGUGUGCACUCAGUUGUGUCUGACUCUUUGCGACCCCAUGGACUGUAGCCCGUCAGGCUCUUCUGUCCAUGGGAUUUUCCAGGCAAGAAUACUGGAGUGGGUU
Long non-coding RNA from Cervus elaphus (red deer), 734 nucleotides. RefSeq lists it as uncharacterized. The record is from RefSeq and is a predicted model, not a curated record. NCBI's taxonomy places the organism in Eukaryota, Metazoa, Chordata, Mammalia, Artiodactyla, Cervidae. The transcript is spliced from 3 exons.